GCCCCGAAAGCUUAAACCCACACACGUGUCGACACGAUGACCUGGGUGCCUUGGAUCUACGGAUCCUGGGUUGGUCAUUGGGAUACGUGGAGGCCCAAC
Molecule: non-coding RNA, 99 nt
Organism: Pseudomonas sp.
Lineage: Bacteria; Pseudomonadati; Pseudomonadota; Gammaproteobacteria; Pseudomonadales; Pseudomonadaceae
Source: Rfam